Long non-coding RNA from Malaya genurostris, 1625 nucleotides. RefSeq lists it as uncharacterized. The transcript is spliced from 5 exons. The record is from RefSeq and is a predicted model, not a curated record. Lineage: Eukaryota; Metazoa; Arthropoda; Insecta; Diptera; Culicidae.
CGUUGCGAGUAUCACACACUCAAAAAAAUAUUCCCAUUGAAGUUACGUGGAAUAUCCCAUACCUAGUAUUUCUCUCCCUUCCACUCUGUUCUACGUGUUCUAUAUGAUUCUUAUAGGAAAAUCUAAUUAAAAGUAAAUGGUUGUCAGGUAUUGAUUAUGUGAUGCGAAGACGGGAACUUUAUGUGAAAGUCCUGUGUGAAAAUAUUAUUAAGUGAACAUGGGAAAGCUUCUCAGUGAUUUGGAUCUGCCAGAGAAUUUGAUAACUAUUUUGAUGAAUGAAUGCGAACUCGGAAUUUUUUAAUUGUGUAAAUUUGAUAUAAACGAAUUUCGUAAUUUCCUCGAGCCAACUGGAGUGAAUUGGUGUUAUGAAAAUAUAUCCCAGGAAAUAGCAGCCUGGAGAAAACGAAACAGACCUCGGAUUGCCCAUUUAAUAAACGGUGGUUUUUCAGUCGAGAAGACGCAACUGUUAUCUAAUUCCGGUGCUUUGAAUUAUGCACAGGCAGUUGCGGAUUUAUUUGAUUCUUGCGAGCAGCAAAGUGACACAAAAACGUCAACACAGGAGCAUCUAUUUGUGGAUACUAUUGCACUGAAUCAACAACACGAUACUCAAAAUACUCAACAACAAGUAACAGGAUUUGAUCGGGAACCAACUAUUCCGACGUCUAGCAGCCCGGUAUCAGCAAAAUAUAACUCUGAUUUGCAGUUGGUUGAUCUAAAAGUGAACCGGCAGGCAGAAACAUAUCACGAUUUUCUAGCUUGCAAAUGUGGAUUACGGUCACUUAGUGCAGACACAGAUAAUCAAUACUCAGGAGCCCUACAUGAAACACCCUCGGAGAAACUUCAAAAAUUACCCGAUGAAAAUGGGUCAAUUAUUCUACCCGUUUUUACUCCAGGCUUCCUAAGAAACUUACUCGAGAAGAACGAGACAGGGAAAGAUAUCCCGGAACGAACAAAGAUUGAAGAACUAUCAGAUACGAAACAAUUGCAGUUAGCUGGUAUAAUCGCUCGUCACCAUCUAAUAUGCAAGAAAAAACUUCGAACAAAAGAUUUGGAAGUCUAUAGUGUAGCUGUCACCACGUUGUUCAAGUAAAAAAAGGAAAAUUAUUACAUACCUCGAGGAGGAGACCGUAAAAACCAUGGUGGCAAAAUAGCAAGCAAAAUUAAUAGCAUGAAGUAAAGUAUGCGAAAAAAUGAUAUAAAAGAGAGCCAACAUGCGAAGAAAUUUAAAUAUUACAUUGAGUCUGAUGACUUGAGUCUCACCGAUGCAACAGAGUGAUUAAUCCUUAACGUACAACCUUGGUCAAUAGUUUUAGACAAGUGGGCACCCAGUUUCUGCAAUAGGAAAAAAUAUUUGCGGAAUGUUAGAUUAGUGUCGAAGUUGCUCAAAGAAUUUCCCCAUUAUACAAACGCUGGACCCAUCAGCGACCAAGCUGCUUGAGUACCUCCAAAGUUCUAAUGAAGAUACUAGAGUGUGCGCCUUAUUGUUAUUACUGAACACAAUAUUGCCACCGAUAUCCGCUGGAAAUACAUACAAACCAACUAUAUGUGUUGCGCAAGGUGAUACAAUUAUUUUUGCCAGCGAUGAAGAAGACGUUACAUCGGAAAUAGUCAGAGUGAACGCAGAG